This 97-nucleotide signal recognition particle RNA is filed under the name Streptosporangiales bacterium. Its description in RNAcentral is "signal recognition particle sRNA small type". It matches the Rfam family "Bacterial small signal recognition particle RNA". From Rfam's summary of the family: The signal recognition particle (SRP) is a universally conserved ribonucleoprotein involved in the co-translational targeting of proteins to membranes. Archaeal SRP consists of a 7S RNA and homologues of the eukaryotic SRP19 and SRP54 proteins. Lineage: Bacteria; Bacillati; Actinomycetota; Actinomycetes; Streptosporangiales. The record is from RNAcentral.
UCAGGCCCCUCACGCGGCGUCACCCAGCUCAACUCCCCCAGGGCCGGAAGGCAGCAAGGGUCGGCAGGCUCUGUCGGGUGCGUGAGGGGUCCCGGCA